Molecule: ribosomal RNA, 200 nt
Filed under: uncultured eukaryote
Lineage: Eukaryota
Description: partial 18S ribosomal RNA
Rfam family: Eukaryotic small subunit ribosomal RNA
Source: RNAcentral
GCUCCAAUAGCGUAUAUUAAUUCUGUUGCGGUUAAAAAGCUCGUAGUUGGAUCUCGGCGGGCAGGGGGCGGUCCGUUUUCUGACGCGACUGCCCCGUUUGCUCGUGUGACUUCGGCGGAGUCGGCCGGGUGCUCUUCGUUGAGUGUCCGGACGGGCCGCCAGUUUACUUUGAAAAAAUUAGAGUGCUCCAAGCAGGCCGC